UGGGGAAUUUUGACAAUGGGCGAAAGCCUGAUCCAGCAAUGCCGCGUGUGUGAAGAAGGCCUUCGGGUUGUAAAGCACUUUUGUCCGGAAAGAAAUCCUUGGCUCUAAUACAGUCGGGGGAUGACGGUACCGGAAGAAUAAGCACCGGCUAACUACGUGCCAGCAGCCGCGGUAAUACGUAGGGUGCAAGCGUUAAUCGGAAUUACUGGGCGUAAAGCGUGCGCAGGCGGUUUGCUAAGACCGAUGUGAAAUCCCCGGGCUCAACCUGGGAACUGCAUUGGUGACUGGCAGGCUAGAGUAUGGCAGAGGGGGGUAGAAUUCCACGUGUAGCAGUGAAAUGCGUAGAGAUGUGGAGGAAUACCGAUGGCAAGGCAGCCCCCUGGGCCAAAUACUGACGCUCAUGCACGAAAAGCGUGGGGAGCAAAACAGGAUUAGAUACCCCUGGUAGUCCACGCCCCUAAAACGAUGUCAACUAGUUGUUGGGGAUUCAUUUCCUUAGUAACGUAGCUAACGCGUGAAGUUGACCGCCUGGGGAGUACGGUCGCAAGAUUAAAACUCAAAUG
This 563-nucleotide ribosomal RNA is filed under the name uncultured bacterium. RNAcentral describes it as "partial 16S ribosomal RNA". It matches the Rfam family "Bacterial small subunit ribosomal RNA", at positions 355 to 907 of the family's 1533-position model. The record is from RNAcentral.